Molecule: ribosomal RNA, 470 nt
Filed under: uncultured bacterium
Lineage: Bacteria
Description: bacterial SSU rRNA
Rfam family: Bacterial small subunit ribosomal RNA
Source: RNAcentral
GACGAACGCUGGCGGCGUGCUUAACACAUGCAAGUCGAACGGUGACCCAGGGCUUGCCCUGGUGAUCAGUGGCGAACGGGUGAGUAACACGUGGGCAACCUGCCCCUGACUUCGGGACAACUCCUCGAAAGAGGAGCUAAUACCGGAUACGACCACUUCGGACAUCCGAUGGUGGUGGAAAGUUUUUCGGUCAGGGAUGGGCCCGCGGCCUAUCAGCUAGUUGGUGGGGUAAUGGCCUACCAAGGCGACGACGGGUAGCCGGCCUGAGAGGGCGACCGGCCACACUGGGACUGAGACACGGCCCAGACUCCUACGAGAGGCAGCAGUGGGGAAUAUUGCGCAAUGGGCGAAAGCCUGACGCAGCGACGCCGCGUGAGGGAUGAAGGCCUUCGGGUUGUAAACCUCUUUCAGCAGGGACGAAGCGAAAGUGACGGUACCUGCAGAAGAGCACCGGCUAACUACGUGCCAGC